Molecule: long non-coding RNA, 5480 nt
Organism: Parus major (Great Tit)
Lineage: Eukaryota; Metazoa; Chordata; Aves; Passeriformes; Paridae
Exons: 4
Source: RefSeq, a predicted model, not a curated record
CCCCGGCAGCCCGGGCAGGGCCGCGACGGAGGCGAUCGCGGCUCGGCCGAGGGCAUCCGCGGUGGGUCCGCGGUGUUUGCGCGGUGGGUCCGCGGAGGGUCCGCGGUGGGGCGGGUCCCGGCCCCUCCCGUGCCGGGGAGCCUGCGGUGGCCGCGGCGCGCUGAGGGCGAGAGCCCCCCCGGGAAGUUGAGGGGUGCAGCGGGGGAUGCUGCAGUGCCCGCGCUGAGCUCCAAACGCCGCUAAUGAAGAACCGAACCGUUCUGCCAACUGCGCUCAGGCUCACCCUGAGCGUGGCCGUGCCCAGCAGCUGCCUGCAGCAGGUGGAGGAAAAUGGGCUGCAAAAAUCCCCCUGGAAGGAUUUUGGGGCGGGGGGAAAGAGCCACCUGAGCGCUGUCGCCACUGCAGCAGCACUAGUGCGAGAGCUCCUACGCUGGCGGUUCCCGUGGCAUGAACCCAGGGUGAAAAAUCGAGAAUUAUUGGUAUCAUCCUUUCGCUGGUGGCUGCUAGAGGGAGCGCGGAUGUUUCCCUGUGCCUUAUCCAUCCCUCAGAGGGAUCCACUUGUGUGUUUGCCAGGGCUGCAGCAAGCCUGCAGAGCUGCCACCCUGUCCGUGGCAGCCGUGCAGAUGGCUUCAUCCUCACUGAAGUGAAAUUGUAGAAUCACAGAGUGAUUUGUGUUAGAAAGGACCUUAAAGAUCGUCUCAUUCCACCCCCCUGCCAUGGGCAGGGACACCUUCUGCUGAACCAGGUUGCUCCAAGCCCCAUAGAUAGGGAUGCUGUGAAGAUCAUGGCUCAGGUGGCUGUAGCUCCCCAAUCCAUCCCUGUGUCCCAAAUCUGCCUGCAGACGUGCUGUGAGUUGUCACCUGAGCCACCCGAACCCAGAAAAGUUCACAAAGGGGUUUAGGAACUGGGCAGGAGCAUGGAGUGGGGUGGGAGCCUCACAGAAACAGGAGUGGGUGUGGGGAGCACAGCGAGGAGCCAGGAUGGCGAGCAAGGGGGGAAGCAAGAGAAAAUCAUGAACUGUAAGGAAAGGGGGAGAAACAGCCCUGCACAAUUUCCCAAACCCUGUGGUACUUGCCUAAAUUCAGGCUUAUGUCUGAGCAAGCUGAGAAUUUGGGGCAGUUCUUUGAACUUCAGGGUGUCCUUGUGCAGCGCCACUGGCACUGCAGAGCCCUGAUUCAAAAUGCAGUAAAAAAGAGAGAAAACGGCUUCUUGAGAGCUGCAGGGAUGGCUCCAGGAGAGGCUUGACAUGAGGUAAAGCACAUCACCAUCCUACACAUCUGCAGGAGCAGAGGGUUUGGUGUUCAGAGUCCCCAGGCAGAUUUUGGGGAUGGAAAUGGGGUAAAUCUGCUGUGUCAGUCUGCUGAAAAACAUCAACAAGAGCAGCCUGCAUCCCCCAAAACCUAAUCUGGAUCCUGGGCACAACCAGCUCUCCAAGAGUCAAAAGGAUUGAGUCUUGUCAAGUGGUAUCUAGUCCUUACAUCCAUCUGGAUCAAUCCAUCUGGAUAUUGUAAAACAGAGAAAAUUUAGCGUUUAUUCAAUGAAACAGUACAGUGGUUUUUGCAAGGGACAUUUUUUUUCUGAGAGUUUCCAGCAGUGUCUGCAACCCAAGCUGGCUGCUGGGCCAGGGCACUUGGAAUAUCAGUGGAAAGGUCUCUUUUCCUUAAUGAAUUCCCAGAGGGUCAGCAAACAACCUGCAAGGAGAAUAAGUGCAAUUUUUGAAAUUCUCUCUCCAUCACCUCUGCAGCCAUCCCUGAAUGAGAUAAAGUUCUCUAAGUAUAUAAAGAAACUGAAUUCUAAUCAAGAUAAAUGCCCAGUUUCAUACCUAAUUUGCAUGAGUAUGUGCUGCAAACUGUGUUUGCAAAUGGGAGAAUUCUGUAUGUAACCAGAUAACCUGAGUGUGCAAUCCCAGGACUGUAUAUGCAAAACUUACUCAUUGCACUUGAAUAAAAGUAAAGCUUCAGCAAAAAGGAACUUGGCUUUAAAGUACCAGCAUGUCUUUUUUUUAUCAUAAAAAAUUCAGGUUAAAGCUGAUUUGAACCUUCCAAGAACACAUUUAGCUGCUAAGGCAAAUUCCAAAUGAUGUUUCUUACUCAAUCUAACUUUAAUAAUAGGCUGGUUGAGUCGCUGCACUGUCAGAGCUGGGAUUUUUUUAAUUUACUGGAGAAGAGAAUUUCUACGUUAGCACGUGGUUAUUUAAAAAAAUGUGUCCUAAAGUUGGCUGUGGCCUCAUGGGUAAGCUAAAAACCUCACUCUAAAAACUUUCCUCACUACUUUCAAGUCUUCCUGAAAUCCCCUGAAGAUAUCUUGGAAGAUUUUCUCCUCUUUCCCAUGCCUCCUCCCAUCCUUACUGAGGAACAGCUGGAUCCAUUAAAAUUGAUUUAGAUCUCUCAGUGCAGAAUUUAAUUUCUCUGAGCUUCAGCCUGGAAGGAACACAGAGUGUCCCAGCAACACCAGGCAGAGGAAAAGGCACAAGGAUGGGGCAUUCCUCACCCACCUGGGUUGUGCCAGCUCCCAGUCAGAAGGUCAAACCUUUGCUGGAAACCUCAAAAUUGGGAUGAAAUGAAACUUUAGGAAAUGAAUUGUGCCUCAAUCCCUUUGUCCUAUUAGUUUUAAAUUAAGAAAAAAUAAUGGAAAUGAAAAGCUAAUUAAAGACCCAAAAUUAGAAAUAUAUUAUUUCCCAAAAUUGCUUUGAUGAUAAUUUUUUUUUAUUUUUUUUUUUUAUUCCAGCUUUAACCAGGAGGUUGACAGCUCAGCAAGGUGUCUGUGUCCCAAAGGGAUGGGAGUUCUUGGCCAUGCAGAUGAGGCAUAAAGAGAUUGGGAAUAUUUCCUAAAGGAAACCUGAGUCAAUGCCAGAACAAUUCCCAGCUGAAAGAACUGUGAGUAUCACCAGCUUCUUUCAGUACAUCCUCAAAAAUGGACCUUCUGUGGUGGAAAAAAGAUCUCCAAAGUGGGGUUUUUGAUCUGUGCCUCAGGUUUGUUGUGCCCUGGCAUGCUGUAGGGCCAGCUUCCAAUUGGACCCUUCCAAAUAUCACUAGGAGCAUCUGUAUGGCCAUUUGUCACCAAGAAAAUCCAGUCCAAGACACCAGCAACCCCAGCAGCAAUCCCCAGGAAAAGCACAGAGUGUGGCCCACGUUCCACAGUCUCUUCCAGCACAUCUCCACUAAGAAAUUCCCAUCAAAGCUACAGCAGCUGUGGCAAUAAACACCACUGGCAGAACCAGUGGAAGAGCAGCCCUUUGCUCCCUUCCCAGAAAACAAAACUGGAAACUGGAGCAGAGCACAUGGGAAGGGUCAGCUGGAGCAUCCUGGGAAUGGAAGGUGCUACAGAGAAAUGUGAUUUUUAAAAAUGAUAAUGUUUGUCAAGUAAGCGAAAGACAAGAUCUCAAGGGUGGUUCAGCCCUCUAAAGUAAUCCUAAAAUUAAUUCAGAAAUGGAGAACUCCAGAUUGUAACGGAGAGGGGCUUUAACAUACACAGCACACUGUCCCCCAUUGGCACCCAGCAGGAAAGGAGCACAUCAGCAUCCACAAAAUUCCCACGGCUGUUUCAGGGACAAAGCAGCCCAAUCCAGGCAAGAGUGAAACUUAAUUUAGUCCUUCCCUUUUCUUUCAGGUGAAAGAACAGCAGUUCUGCUCUAAGUGAGCAUCACCUUCCUCUGUUUUGUCAGUGGCACCCAGCCUGGGUCACCCCUGGUCUGGGGAUCACCCCUGGUUUGGGGAUCACCCCACUGCCAAACCAUCCCUUUGACAACAACAGAACGUGCUGGGGAGUGUGGAACAACAAAAAUAGCCUUUUCCCCCACCCCUGUUUUCCCUGAUUUAAUCCAAAAUGCUACCAGCAGGGUGGACUAAUCCUGUAUUGCAUAAGAUUACAAACCUACAAUUACAGUCCCCACUAACCUGUAAAAGAUUUAAAAAUACACCUAGAUAGAGUUUCAGCAUUGAGAAGGCAGCUGAAAAAUUGGCAUUACAUUUCUACAUGUGCAUAUUGCUUUAAAUACAAUCAUGUUUUAAGGGAUUCUUUGAUUCUGUGAAUUUGAUGUCCAUUUCUUGAAUGGUUUGUAGCAUGGGUUGGCUGGAGCUAGCUCCUCUGCAAAAAAAGAGCACUUUUCCAGGAUUGAGGGAAAUCCCUCUACAUGAGAUAAUUCACAAGUGUUCUUUUUCUCAGGUUAGGUAGGAGGAUACUGCAGGUAUUGUUUCAGAGGAUGGGGAAACUGAGGAGCAGAUGGGCUGGAGCAGGGUGUGACCAAGGUCCAGUGGGAGAGGGCACCUGCAACCCAUGAAACAGAGCGAGGUUUUCCAGUUAAAUCAGGAGCAAUUCCUUCAUCUCACCGUGAUUUACCCUAAAGGAACACCCAGCCACAGAAGGGCAGGGAACAUGUGUCUUCUAAUAAAAUCUCUUUAACUUUGACAUAGAUUACUUCUAAAAAGCCCCCAUCAAACCACACCAAAUACAGGAAUGUGAUGAAGUAUCUCGGUACAAAAUCUAUUCCGAGGCGAUUAUCAGCCUUUGAAAAAUUCAGGCUCUAAGUCAGUUCAUGGCAGGGAUCAAAUUGAGCUGCUGUCAACUCAUUUGGGCAUUUUACUUUGCUUCUGAUAUCUGACAGUUAAAAUAAUCUCAAAUAGUUCCCAUUACUCCUGCAUUUUCUGCUUCUUGCCCCAGGGAAGGGCCAUGCAGCCAGGCUCCCAUCCCAGCCACCUCCCAGCCUGCAGCAUCCCUCCCCAGCCCUGCCUGGGGGGAAUCCCAAGACUGCCACAGCUUCCUGCUCACUUCCUCCACUUUGGGGAGAAAUUGUAGCUAAGGCUGAUCAGCUGUGAGCUGCCACAGGCAGACCCAGGUCCCUCGGGCUGAGUUCCAGCUGCUGCUGGGAGCAGUCUGUGGUCCCAGCUGGGCUGCACUGGACAUCAGCUGGAAUGCCAGGAGGAGCUCAGUCCUCUCAGAGAGAAGGCCUGGAGCAUUAUCUUCUGCUAAUGCAGGACAGAAAUCAAACGAAGAUGUCAAAACUGUGUUCCCCCUGCCUCAGGCAAAACAGAGCCAGGGUGACCCCCAAGUUCUUCCAAAGGGGAUCUCAGUUUGUGUGAAGGAAAAGCAUCUCCAGCAUCCUCAUAACUGAGGGCAGCGCGGGAUGAAAAGGAAAAUCAGAGGAAAAUAAUGGUGUCAGGACCUGGAUCUGAGAUCUGCAGCUUUAAAGGAGAGAAAAGCCAGGGAGAUCCCAGCCUCAGGGUGCAAGAUGUGUUGAAAUACAGAUGUUAAUCAGGAACAGGUGGUACCUCAUGUGGGUUCAGCAGUGACAUUUCCACGUUUUAAAUGCACUCCUUACUUGCUGGUAACAAAACUUCCCAUUACUACAAAGAAAUACAUAUUAUACCUCAAACAUGCUUCACUGAGCUUGGAGAGUAAAGAUAAAAUAAUCUUUUUAUAGCAAAUAGGAAUGAAUACUUAAAAAUAAUAAAAAGUUGGUGAAUAUUCAUUUGAACUCUCAA